Molecule: long non-coding RNA, 173 nt
Organism: Astyanax mexicanus (Mexican tetra)
Lineage: Eukaryota; Metazoa; Chordata; Actinopteri; Characiformes; Acestrorhamphidae
Exons: 3
Source: RefSeq, a predicted model, not a curated record
UGGUUGUGUAGCUGGUUGUGUAGCUGGUUGUGUAGCUGCUGGUUGUGUAGCUGGUGGUUGUGUAGCUGGUUGUGUAGCUGGUUGUGUAGCUGGUUGUGUAGCUGGUGGUUGUGUAGCUGCUGGUUGUGUAGCUGGUUGUGUAGCUGGUUGUGUAGCUGGUUGUGUACCUGCAG